RNAcentral lists this ribosomal RNA (497 nucleotides) under uncultured bacterium. RNAcentral describes it as "partial 16S ribosomal RNA". It matches the Rfam family "Bacterial small subunit ribosomal RNA", at positions 28 to 507 of the family's 1533-position model. The record is from RNAcentral.
GAUGAACGCUGGCGGCGUGCCUAAUACAUGCAAGUCGAGCGAACAGACGAGGAGCUUGCUCCUCUGACGUUAGCGGCGGACGGGUGAGUAACACGUGGAUAACCUACCUAUAAGACUGGGAUAACUUCGGGAAACCGGAGCUAAUACCGGAUAAUAUAUUGAACCGCAUGGUUCAAUAGUGAAAGACGGUUUUGCUGUCACUUAUAGAUGGAUCCGCGCCGCAUUAGCUAGUUCGUAAGGUAACGGCUUACCAAGGCAACGAUGCGUAGCCGACCUGAGAGGGUGAUCGGCCACACUGGAACUGAGACACGGUCCAGACUCCUACGGGAGGCAGCAGUAGGGAAUCUUCCGCAAUGGGCGAAAGCCUGACGGAGCAACGCCGCGUGAGUGAUGAAGGUCUUCGGAUCGUAAAACUCUGUUAUUAGGGAAGAACAAAUGUGUAAGUAACUAUGCACGUCUUGACGGUACCUAAUCAGAAAGCCACGGCUAACUACGUG